CCUACCUGAGGCCUUCUGAGAGUGCAGGCUGGAUGAUGACCAUCUCAAUUUACAAUUUGGAUUGCUGUCUCCAUGAUUCUGCUAUCCUACUAUCUUAAACUUAGCUGCAGUGGAUACUAUUAAGAUAGACUAGCAACUGUGCCUUCUUCAACAAAAAAAAGCUCCUGGUAACAAUAUGAAUUAUUAAUCUCAUGAAAGAACAAGGAGAACACGACGGAGCCAGAAAGAAGGGGCAUAAGGGCCAGGAUUUCACCACUAGAGAGUGUAAUUCUACUGUGUAACUUGACCUUUAAACUGU
Lagopus muta (rock ptarmigan) is the source of this 298-nucleotide long non-coding RNA. RefSeq lists it as uncharacterized. The transcript has 3 exons. The record is from RefSeq and is a predicted model, not a curated record. NCBI's taxonomy places the organism in Eukaryota, Metazoa, Chordata, Aves, Galliformes, Phasianidae.